Molecule: transfer RNA, 57 nt
Filed under: Triparma pacifica
Lineage: Eukaryota; Bolidophyceae; Parmales; Triparmaceae
Source: RNAcentral
UCUACGGCACAAGCUUUGCUGGGAAUAGAGCAGUCGCAGGAGAUGGCGAUGAUGUUU